GUUGGUUUGUUUGUUUCUGUCUAUGAAGGAAAACAUGAUAGCGUGGAAAUUUCACUCCACAACACUAUUCUGCUCCUAUGCACACAGUCGGCUGUGUUUAGUGAAUCCAACAGCUCCUGUGAUGGAAUGAA
This is a long non-coding RNA of Thalassophryne amazonica, 131 nucleotides long. RefSeq lists it as uncharacterized. NCBI's taxonomy places the organism in Eukaryota, Metazoa, Chordata, Actinopteri, Batrachoidiformes, Batrachoididae. The record is from RefSeq and is a predicted model, not a curated record. The transcript is spliced from 3 exons.